CAGGCUUAACACAUGCAAGUCGAGGGGCAGCAUGGUCUUAGCUUGCUAAGGCCGAUGGCGACCGGCGCACGGGUGAGUAACACGUAUCCAACCUGCCGUCUACUCUUGGACAGCCUUCUGAAAGGAAGAUUAAUACAAGAUGGCAUCAUGAGUCCGCAUGUUCACAUGAUUAAAGGUAUUCCGGUAGACGAUGGGGAUGCGUUCCAUUAGAUAGUAGGCGGGGUAACGGCCCACCUAGUCUUCGAUGGAUAGGGGUUCUGAGAGGAAGGUCCCCCACAUUGGAACUGAGACACGGUCCAAACUCCUACGGGAGGCAGCAGUGAGGAAUAUUGGUCAAUGGGCGAGAGCCUGAACCAGCCAAGUAGCGUGAAGGAUGACUGCCCUAUGGGUUGUAAACUUCUUUUAUAAAGGAAUAAAGUCGGGUAUGGAUACCCGUUUGCAUGUACUUUAUGAAUAAGGAUCGGCUAACUCCGUGCCAGCAGCCGCGGUAAUACGGAGGAUCCGAGCGUUAUCCGGAUUUAUUGGGUUUAAAGGGAGCGUAGAUGGAUGUUUAAGUCAGUUGUGAAAGUUUGCGGCUCAACCGUAAAAUUGCAGUUGAUACUGGAUAUCUUGAGUGCAGUUGAGGCAGGCGGAAUUCGUGGUGUAGCGGUGAAAUGCUUAGAUAUCACGAAGAACUCCGAUUGCGAAGGCAGCCUGCUAAGCUGCAACUGACAUUGAGGCUCGAAAGUGUGGGUAUCAAACAGGAUUAGAUACCCUGGUAGUCCACACGGUAAACGAUGAAUACUCGCUGUUUGCGAUAUACUGCAAGCGGCCAAGCGAAAGCGUUAAGUAUUCCACCUGGGGAGUACGCCGGCAACGGUGAAACUCAAAGGAAUUGACGGGGGCCCGCACAAGCGGAGGAACAUGUGGUUUAAUUCGAUGAUACGCGAGGAACCUUACCCGGGCUUAAAUUGCAGAUGAAUUACGGUGAAAGCCGUAAGCCGCAAGGCAUCUGUGAAGGUGCUGCAUGGUUGUCGUCAGCUCGUGCCGUGAGGUGUCGGCUUAAGUGCCAUAACGAGCGCAACCCUUGUUGUCAGUUACUAACAGGUUCCGCUGAGGACUCUGACAAGACUGCCACCGUAAGAUGUGAGGAAGGUGGGGAUGACGUCAAAUCAGCACGGCCCUUACGUCCGGGGCUACACACGUGUUACAAUGGGGGGUACAGAGGGCCGCUACCACGCGAGUGGAUGCCAAUCCCCAAAACCUCUCUCAGUUCGGACUGGAGUCUGCAACCCGACUCCACGAAGCUGGAUUCGCUAGUAAUCGCGCAUCAGCCACGGCGCGGUGAAUACGUUCCCGGGCCUUGUACACACCGCCCGUCAAGCCAUGGGAGCCGGGGGUACCUGAAGUGCGUAACCGCGAGGAGCGCCCUAGGGUAAAACUGGUGACUGGGGC
This 1434-nucleotide ribosomal RNA is filed under the name uncultured organism. RNAcentral's name for it is "16S ribosomal RNA". It matches the Rfam family "Bacterial small subunit ribosomal RNA". The record is from RNAcentral.